RNAcentral lists this ribosomal RNA (315 nucleotides) under uncultured bacterium. RNAcentral's name for it is "bacterial SSU rRNA". It matches the Rfam family "Bacterial small subunit ribosomal RNA", at positions 30 to 350 of the family's 1533-position model. The record is from RNAcentral.
CCUGAACGCUGGCGGCGUGGCUAAGACAUGCAAGUCGAACGGGUGUAGCAAUACACCAGUGGCGGACGGGUGAGUAAUGUAUCGCUAACGUGCCCUGGAAUCUGAGAUAGCCAAUCGAAAGGUUGGGUAAUACCAGAUGAAAUAUCCUUAUCGCAUGAUGAGGAUCUCAAAGGAGCAAUCCGGUCUGGGAGCGGGCGAUAUCGUAUCAGCUAGUUGGUGAGGUAACGGCUCACCAAGGCGACGACGCGUAGCCGGGCUGAGAGGUCGGCCGGCCACAUUGGGACUGAGACACUGCCCAGACUCCUACGGGGGCGU